Molecule: ribosomal RNA, 137 nt
Filed under: uncultured bacterium
Lineage: Bacteria
Description: partial 16S ribosomal RNA
Rfam family: Bacterial small subunit ribosomal RNA
Source: RNAcentral
UGGGGAAUAUUGCACAAUGGGGGAAACCCUGAUGCAGCGACGCCGCGUGAGCGAAGAAGUAUUUCGGUAUGUAAAGCUCUAUCAGCAGGGAAGAAAAUGACGGUACCUGACUAAGAAGCACCGGCUAAAUACGUGCC